CUCAUAACUCCUUCAUUUCUCCACCAAAUCCACUCAUUCUUUUUGCUCUAGAUCAGUCUCCUCCUCUAAACUUAUUUUGUGAAGGAAUUUCAAGGUUUAAACUCUCUUUCAGCCGUUUUAAGCUUUUGAAUCUCCCCACAUACUCUAGGGUUAAGGUAUGAGAACCAAGAAAGUGGCUUACAAAAGAUCUAGGAGGGACCGUUCUUCCGCUCCCAACGAACCAAAGUUUAAGAAUGAGGACCACAAGACACGUUAUGCACUUUUAUCAAGAAAGGGUUUGGCACCAUUCGAAGAAUAGAUUGGGAUGUCUUGAAGGUGUUAGGGUUGGAUGGCACUAUCUUGGAGAUCAUCUCCCAUGAUGGGUGGGACAAGUUAUUCUCCAUUGAAGAACCCACAUAUAAGGAGUUAACACUAGAAGUUUUGAGCACCAUCGAGGUUGCCAAGCAUUGUCCAUUUACUCACCAACCAAGUUCUAUCUCCUUUCAUGCAUUCGGGAAGAAGCAUCGGGUUACGCAAGAUCACUUGGGUGUACUCUUGGGACUUUACACCAAAGCAUACACACUCACACCCGGAUUCAAAGGCUUAUCACAAGAUUUUCCGUACCCGGAACAUUGUUCGAGUCACUUCACACUCUGGGCCCUCGUCAUGUUGCUUUUCCCCAAGUCUGGAUUGAGUUGGCACACACUUUAUCGACUGAUUGGGGAAGUUUCUUGACUCCAUUUCCUUGUAUUUAUUGCAUAUUAUAUUUCCCACCCUGUUCUGCUGACUUAUGUACAUUAGGGACAAUGUACAGCUUUAGCUAUGGGGAUGGAGUAUUUAACUUUAUUGCAUGCUUGAUUGCCUAUGAUAGCUGUGAUUUUAUUGUUAAGGACUUCCUAGCUUGGUAGAAUGAUAGUUGUGAGCUGUACUUUAUCUGUGCUUGAAUGUAGUUCUAUUUCAUCUCUAGUGCACCUAUAUACCUGUUCAUGAGCACUUUUCACCUUGUACACUCCAACCAACCCAUCAUUAUGACUUUGGCAUUAAUUUAUUAAAUUCU
Dioscorea cayenensis subsp. rotundata (Guinea yam) is the source of this 1036-nucleotide long non-coding RNA. RefSeq lists it as uncharacterized. The transcript has 3 exons. The record is from RefSeq and is a predicted model, not a curated record. NCBI's taxonomy places the organism in Eukaryota, Viridiplantae, Streptophyta, Magnoliopsida, Dioscoreales, Dioscoreaceae.